This 512-nucleotide ribosomal RNA is filed under the name uncultured Gram-positive bacterium. RNAcentral's name for it is "bacterial SSU rRNA". It matches the Rfam family "Bacterial small subunit ribosomal RNA", at positions 8 to 521 of the family's 1533-position model. The record is from RNAcentral.
AGAGUUGAUCCUGGCUCAGGAUGAACGCUGGCGGCGUGCUUACACAUGCAAGUCGAACGAAGCACCUUAUUCUGAUUUCUUCGGAAUGAAAAAUUUGGUGACUGAGUGGCGGACGGGUGAGUAACGCGUGGGUAACCUGCCUCAUACAGGGGGAUAACAGUUAGAAAUGACUGCUAAUACCGCAUAAGACCACAGCACCGCAUGGUGCAGGGGUAAAAACUCCGGUGGUAUGAGAUGGACCCGCGUCUGAUUAGGUAGUUGGUGGGGUAACGGCCUACCAAGCCGACGAUCAGUAGCCGACCUGAGAGGGUGACCGGCCACAUUGGGACUGAGACACGGCCCAAACUCCUACGGGAGGCAGCAGUGGGGAAUAUUGCACAAUGGGGGAAACCCUGAUGCAGCGACGCCGCGUGAGCGAUGAAGUAUUUCGGUAUGUAAAGCUCUAUCAGCAGGGAAGAAAAUGACGGUACCUGACUAAGAAGCACCGCUAAAUACGUGCCAGCAGCCGCGGU